RNAcentral lists this ribosomal RNA (346 nucleotides) under uncultured bacterium. Its description in RNAcentral is "partial 16S ribosomal RNA". It matches the Rfam family "Bacterial small subunit ribosomal RNA", at positions 338 to 700 of the family's 1533-position model. The record is from RNAcentral.
CCUACGGGCGGCAGCAGUGGGGAAUAUUGCACAAUGGGGGAAACCCUGAUGCAGCAACGCCGCGUGAAGGAAGACGGUUUUCGGAUUGUAAACGUCUGGUCUUAGGGAAGAAGAAUGACGGGAGCGAAGGAGCAAGCCACGGCUAACUACGUGCCAGCAGCCGCGGUAAGACGUAGGUGGCAAGCGUUGUCCGGAAUUACUGGGUGUAAAGGGAGCGCAGGCGGGAAGCCAAGUCAGCUGUGAAAACUACGGGCUUAACUUGUAGACUGCAGUUGAAACUGGUUUUCUUGAGUGCAGUAGAGGUUGGCGGACUUCCGCGUGUAGCGGUGCACUUCGUCGAUAUUCG